This 71-nucleotide transfer RNA is filed under the name Marmota monax (woodchuck). It matches the Rfam family "tRNA". Rfam says of the family: Transfer RNA (tRNA) molecules are approximately 80 nucleotides in length. Their secondary structure includes four short double-helical elements and three loops (D, anti-codon, and T loops). Lineage: Eukaryota; Metazoa; Chordata; Mammalia; Rodentia; Sciuridae. The record is from Rfam by way of RNAcentral.
GAAGUUGUAGCUUAGUGGUAGAGUGCUCGUCUAGCACGUGCGAGGCUCUGGGUUCGAUACUCAGCACCUCA